This 482-nucleotide ribosomal RNA is filed under the name uncultured bacterium. RNAcentral describes it as "bacterial SSU rRNA". It matches the Rfam family "Bacterial small subunit ribosomal RNA", at positions 30 to 506 of the family's 1533-position model. The record is from RNAcentral.
UUGAACGCUGGCGGCAUGCUUUACACAUGCAAGUCGAACGGUAACAGGGAGCUUGCUCCGCUGACGAGUGGCGAACGGGUGAGUAAUGCAUCGGAACGUACCCAGUCGUGGGGGAUAACGUAGCGAAAGUUACGCUAAUACCGCAUACGUCCUGAGGGAGAAAGCGGGGGACCGUAAGGCCUCGCGCGAUUGGAGCGGCCGAUGUCGGAUUAGCUAGUUGGUGGGGUAAAGGCCUACCAAGGCGACGAUCCGUAGCGGGUCUGAGAGGAUGAUCCGCCACACUGGGACUGAGACACGGCCCAGACUCCUACGGGAGGCAGCAGUGGGGAAUUUUGGACAAUGGGGGCAACCCUGAUCCAGCCAUGCCGCGUGAGUGAAGAAGGCCUUCGGGUUGUAAAGCUCUUUUGUCCGGAGCGAAACGGUUACGGUGAAUAUCCGUGACUACUGACGGUACCGGAAGAAUAAGCACCGGCUAACUACGU